RNAcentral lists this ribosomal RNA (1447 nucleotides) under uncultured Bordetella sp. Its description in RNAcentral is "partial 16S-23S ribosomal RNA intergenic spacer". It matches the Rfam family "Bacterial small subunit ribosomal RNA". Lineage: Bacteria; Pseudomonadati; Pseudomonadota; Betaproteobacteria; Burkholderiales; Alcaligenaceae. The record is from RNAcentral.
GGUUCGAUUCUGGCUCAGAUUGAACGCUGGCGGGAUGCUUUACACAUGCAAGCUGGCAGCACGGACUUCGGUCUGGUGGUUAUGGCGGAACGGGUGAGUAAUGUAUCGGAACGUGCCUAGUAGCGGGGAUAACUGCGCGAAAGCGUAGCUAAUAUCGCGCAAUGGCCCUUCGGGGGAGUGGGGGACCUUCGGGCCUCGCACUUGUUUAGAGCGGCCGGGAUAUCGGAUUAGCUAGUUGGUGGGGUAACGGCUCACCAAGGCGACGAUCCGUAGCUGGUUUGAGAGGGACGACCAGCCACACUGGGACUGAGACACGGCCCAGACUCCUACGGGAGGCAGUGGGGAAUUUUGGACAAUGGGGAAAACCCUGAUCCAGCCAUCCCGCGUGUGCGAUGAAGGCCUUCGGGUUGUAAAGCACUUUUGGCAGGAGUUGAAACGGCACGAGACACCGUGCACCACGGUACCUGCAGAACGGCUAACCACAGCCAGCAGCUUGCAAUACGUAGGGUGCAAGCGUUAACGGAAUUACUUCGGGCGUAAGCGUGCGCAGGCGGUUCGGAAAGAAAGAUGAAAUCCCAGAGCUAUCCUUGGAACUUUGCAUUUUUAAUCUUACCGAGUGUGUCAGAGGGAGUGUGGAAUUCCGUAAGCAGUGAAAUGUAUAUGGAGGAACACCGAUGGCGGGCGUCUCCCUGGGAUACCGACGUUUCAUGCACGAAAGCGUGGGAGCAAACAGGAUUAGAUACCCUGGUAGUCCACGUGCCCUAAAAACGAUGUCAAUCAGCUGUUGGGGCCUUCGGGCCUUUGUGCGCAGCUAACGCGUGAAGUUGACCGCCUGGGGAGUACGGUCGCAAGAUUAAAACUCAAAGGAAUUGACGGGGACCUGCACAAGCGGUGGAUGAUGUGGAUUAAUUCGAUGCAACGCGAAAACCUUACCUACCCUUGACAUGUCUGGAAUCCCGAAGAGAUUUGGGAGUGCUCGCAAGAGAACCGGAACACAGGUGCCGCAUGGCUGUCGUCAGCUCGUGGCCGAGAUGUUGGGUUAAGUCCCGCAACGAGCGCAACCCUUGUCAUUAGUUGCCGAAAGGGCACUCUAAUGACGCUGCGUGCAAACCGGAGGAAGGUGGGGAUGACGUCAAGUCCUCAUGGCCCUUAUGGGUAGGGCUUCACACGUCAUACAAUGGUCGGGACAGAGGGUCGCCAACCCGCGAGGGGGAGCCAAUCCCAGGAAACCCGAUCAGUCCGGAUCGCAGUCUGCAAACUGACUGCGUGAAGUCGGAAUCGCUAGUAAUCGCGGAUCAGCAUGUCGCGGUGAAUACGUUCCCGGGUCUUGGGUACACACACCGCCCGUCACACCAUGGGAGUGGGUUUUACCAGAAGUAGUUAGCCUAACCGUAAGGAGGGCGAUUACCACGGUAGGAUUCAUGACUGGGGUGAAGUCGUAACAAGC